This 655-nucleotide ribosomal RNA is filed under the name uncultured bacterium. RNAcentral describes it as "bacterial SSU rRNA". It matches the Rfam family "Bacterial small subunit ribosomal RNA", at positions 743 to 1397 of the family's 1533-position model. The record is from RNAcentral.
ACACUGAGGUGCGAAAGCGUGGGUAGCAAACAGGAUUAGAUACCCUGGUAGUCCACGCCGUAAACGAUGUCGACCAGCCGUUGGGUGCCUAGCGCACUUUGUGGCGAAGUUAACGCGAUAAGUCGACCGCCUGGGGAGUACGGCCGCAAGGUUAAAACUCAAAUGAAUUGACGGGGGCCCGCACAGGCGGUGGAGCAUGUGGUUUAAUUCGAUGCAACGCGAAGAACCUUACCUACUCUUGACAUCCUGCGAACUUGUGAGAGAUCACUUGGUGCCUUCGGGAGCGCAGAGACAGGUGCUGCAUGGCUGUCGUCAGCUCGUGUUGUGAAAUGUUGGGUUAAGUCCCGUAACGAGCGCAACCCUUGUCCUUAUUUGCCAGCGGGUAAUGCCGGGAACUCUAAGGAGACUGCCGGUGACAAACCGGAGGAAGGUGGGGACGACGUCAAGUCAUCAUGGCCCUUACGAGUAGGGCUACACACGUGCUACAAUGGCCGGUACAAAGGGUUGCGAGCUCGCGAGAGUCAGCUAAUCCCGAAAAGCCGGUCUCAGUCCGGAUCGGAGUCUGCAACUCGACUCCGUGAAGUCGGAAUCGCUAGUAAUCGUGAAUCAGAAUGUCACGGUGAAUACGUUCCCGGGCCUUGUACACACCGCCCGU